This 445-nucleotide long non-coding RNA is filed under the name Nicotiana benthamiana. RNAcentral's name for it is "long non-coding RNA (NBEN_LNC018860)". The record is from RNAcentral. Lineage: Eukaryota; Viridiplantae; Streptophyta; Magnoliopsida; Solanales; Solanaceae.
GGCGAGAUGAUGCUGGCCGAAAUGCACUGGUUGAAGCGGAUCCUUUCCAUCCAAGAGCCCCUUCAAAUUCCAAUGGAGCAACAGGCAUCCCAGGGGCAGCUGUCGCCUUUGAAGCAGAAACAACAGAGAUGCAGGUAGAUGUGGGAUCUUCAACAUGAUCUAUAUCAUCUGAGCAAAACUCUAGAUUCAGAUCAAAAUCACACUGGCCCUUCUCAACAUUGGCGUCAAGAUCGGUACCCUGAGAGGGUUCCACCUUUACUUUUUCAUAGGGCAGCUGUUGCCUUCGAAGCAGAAACAACAGAUAUGCAGGUAGAUACGGGAUCUUCAACAUGAUCUAUAUCGUCUGAGCAAACCUCUAGAUUCAGAUCAAAAUCACACUGGCCCUUCUCAGCAUUGGCGUCAAGAUCAGUACCCUGAGAGGAUUCCACCUUUACUUUUUCAUUUU